This 305-nucleotide ribosomal RNA is filed under the name uncultured bacterium. RNAcentral describes it as "bacterial SSU rRNA". It matches the Rfam family "Bacterial small subunit ribosomal RNA", at positions 335 to 657 of the family's 1533-position model. The record is from RNAcentral.
GCCCUACGGGGGGCAGCAGUCGGGAAUAUUGCGCAAUGGAGGAAACUCUGACGCAGUGACGCCGCGUGCAGGAAGAAGGUUUUCGGAUUGUAAACUGCUUUAGACAGGGAAGAAACAAGACAGUACCUGUAGAAUAAGCUCCGGCUAACUACGUGCCAGCAGCCGCGGUAAUACGUAGGGAGCAAGCGUUAUCCGGAUUUAUUGGGUGUAAAGGGUGCGUAGACGGGAAGGCAAGUUGGUUGUGAAAUCCCUCGGCUUAACUGAGGAACUGCAACCAAAACUAUUCUCCUUGAGUGUCGGAGAGG